This 817-nucleotide long non-coding RNA is filed under the name Mus pahari (shrew mouse). RNAcentral's name for it is "lncRNA (MGP_PahariEiJ_G0003840.1)". Lineage: Eukaryota; Metazoa; Chordata; Mammalia; Rodentia; Muridae. The record is from RNAcentral.
CCAUGACCAGAGGGUAGGAGACAGACCACUCUGGAAACAGCUGACGUUCUCCCCCAGGAGCCUGUGUGUGGAUGCGGCUGUUAGCAUCAGAAGUUGCAGAUCCACCCCACCCCACCCCAAAUCAGUCUUUACCUGCUAUGAGGGAACUGGAAGCUGCAAGCAUCCUCAGCUGGCAACUGCACCUCCAGGAGUGGCUGGGUCUCUGUAGUAAAACUAUGACUGUCCUACACCUACAAUUGUAAGUCACAGUCAGUGGACAAGCCAGAGGAAAUGUUGAGACUCCAACCCAGACAAAGAGUAGCUUCAGUGAUGGCUAAGGUUUGAUCCACCCAACAGAUCCUGAUAUGGUCCUCUUUCAUCUUGGAUCCCAGAUCCCUCUUGAGGGAGAAGUUUCCAGCCUCCUUUGCCUCCGUGCCCACAUUCUGAGAGGACGUUGUCUCUCUACCUCCUUCUCAGAGCUCCAGGCUCAGAAGGUUUACCUACCAACUCACAUGUGUCCUGAGCCCAGCCUCCUUGUAUGAGUGCAGGGAAGGGUGCUGCUGUACAUCCCGACCCCCACUCUCCUCCUUGCCUUACCUGGAGCAUACAUGCUGCAGCAGCGUGUGUUGGUGCCAGUUCCAUUCUGGACCCUGCCAGGGCCACAGCUAGGCUUCUCAACAACACUCUGCUGACCUAGGUCCAGCACACAAAUCAGUGAGACUCCAUACAGCAUGGCCCAUGCCCCCAUAGUGCUUCUCCUGAGUCUUCUGUUGGCUGAUUUCAGGAGUUCCCGCUCCAACAUGCCUUGUCUCUGUCUCUGCCUCUGUCCCCACCCCUC